AACGAACGCUGGCGGCAGGCUUAACACAUGCAAGUCGAGCGCGCCCUUUCGGGGGUGAGCGGCGAACGGGUGAGUAACGCGUGGGAACGUGCCCUUUGGUUCGGAAUAGCCCUGGGAAACUGGGAGUAAUGCCGGAUAAGCCCUACGGGGGAAAGAUUUAUCGCCAAAGGAUCGGCCCGCGUUGGAUUAGGUAGUUGGUGGGGUAAUGGCCUACCAAGCCGACGAUCCAUAGCUGGUUUGAGAGGAUGAUCAGCCACACUGGGACUGAGACACGGCCCAGACUCCUACGGGAGGCAGCAGUGGGGAAUCUUGGACAAUGGGGGCAACCCUGAUCCAGCCAUGCCGCGUGAUCGAUGAAGGCCUUAGGGUUGUAAAGCUCUUUCAGCUGGGAAGAUAAUGACGGUACCAGCAGAAGAAGCCCCGGCUAACUCCGUGCCAGCCGCCGCGGUAACAC
RNAcentral lists this ribosomal RNA (454 nucleotides) under uncultured bacterium. Its description in RNAcentral is "bacterial SSU rRNA". It matches the Rfam family "Bacterial small subunit ribosomal RNA", at positions 29 to 526 of the family's 1533-position model. The record is from RNAcentral.